RNAcentral lists this small nuclear RNA (60 nucleotides) under Cercocebus atys (sooty mangabey). Its description in RNAcentral is "U7 small nuclear RNA (ENSCATG00000020200.1)". It matches the Rfam family "U7 small nuclear RNA". Rfam says of the family: Animal histone pre-mRNAs are spliced by a different mechanism than nuclear pre-mRNAs and self-splicing introns. This processing involves the U7 snRNP, which contains only one RNA species: U7. The record is from Rfam by way of RNAcentral. Lineage: Eukaryota; Metazoa; Chordata; Mammalia; Primates; Cercopithecidae.
CAGUGUUACAGCUCUUUUAGAAUUUGUCUAGCAGGUGUUCUGGUUUUCCAGAAAGCCUCC